RNAcentral lists this ribosomal RNA (252 nucleotides) under uncultured bacterium. RNAcentral describes it as "partial 16S ribosomal RNA". It matches the Rfam family "Bacterial small subunit ribosomal RNA", at positions 524 to 776 of the family's 1533-position model. The record is from RNAcentral.
UACGUAGGUGGCAAGCGUUAUCCGGAAUUAUUGGGCGUAAAGCGCGCGCAGGCGGUUUCUUAAGUCUGAUGUUAAAGCCCACGGCUCAACCGUGGUCCGCAUUGGAAACUGGGAGACUGGAGUACUGAAGAGGAAAGUGGAAUACCACGUGUAGCGGUGAAAUGCGUAGAGAUGUGGUGGAACACCAGUGGCGAAGGCGACUUUCUGGUCAGUAACUGACGCUGAGGCGCGAAAGCGUGGGGAGCAAACAGG